This 781-nucleotide ribosomal RNA is filed under the name uncultured Lactobacillus sp. RNAcentral's name for it is "bacterial SSU rRNA". It matches the Rfam family "Bacterial small subunit ribosomal RNA", at positions 28 to 776 of the family's 1533-position model. Lineage: Bacteria; Bacillati; Bacillota; Bacilli; Lactobacillales; Lactobacillaceae. The record is from RNAcentral.
GACGAACGCUGGCGGCGUGCCUAAUACAUGCAAGUCGAGCGAGCGGAACUAACAGAUUUACUUCGGUAAUGACGUUAGGAAAGCGAGCGGCGGAUGGGUGAGUAACACGUAGGGAAUCUGCCCCAUAGUCUGGGAUACCACUUGGAAACAGGUGCUAAUACCGGAUAAGAAAGCAGAUCGCAUGAUCAGCUUUUAAAAGGCGGCGUAAGCUGUCGCUAUGGGAUGGCCCCGCGGUGCAUUAGCUAGUUGGUAAGGUAAAGGCUUACCAAGGCGAUGAUGCAUAGCCGAGUUGAGAGACUGAUCGGCCACAUUGGGACUGAGACACGGCCCAAACUCCUACGGGAGGCAGCAGUAGGGAAUCUUCCACAAUGGACGCAAGUCUGAUGGAGCAACGCCGCGUGAGUGAAGAAGGUUUUCGGAUCGUAAAGCUCUGUUGUUGGUGAAGAAGGAUAGAGGUAGUAACUGGCCUUUAUUUGACGGUAAUCAACCAGAAAGUCACGGCUAACUACGUGCCAGCAGCCGCGGUAAUACGUAGGUGGCAAGCGUUGUCCGAAUUUAUUGGGCGUAAAGCGAGCGCAGGCGGAAGAAUAAGUCUGAUGUGAAAGCCCUCGGCUUAACCGAGUAACUGCAUCGGAAACUGUUUUUCUUGAGUGCAGAAGAGGAGAGUGGAACUCCAUGUGUAGCGGUGGAAUGCGUAGAUAUAUGGAAGAACACCAGUGGCGAAGGCGGCUCUCUGGUCUGCAACUGACGCUGAGGCUCGAAAGCAUGGGUAGCGAACAGG